UCCAAAGUCAUGACAUGUUGAGCAACGCUAAGAUAAACAAAGAGUAAACCUUAGAUAACUUGUGCUUCAUCUUGGACAUAAAAAUCAGCAGAAAUGGAUUGAUUUUUCAAGGCCUGCACAGAUUUUCAUUCCUUGACGUCUGACCUGCUAAUUACGACUUUUCAGAAGGCGGUGUGGAAAUGUGCUUUUUUGUAAACCGAGGAGCAUCUGUUUGCCAUGGCAACAAGAGCAUCACCUCGGACUGCAAACGGGCGCUUUCAGACACAGAAACCGAAGGAACUUCUGCCUCUACUAACUAUGUAUACAUUUUCAUGUAAAAGAAAAAAGAAUUAAAAGAAGAAGAAAAAAGUCAGUCUCAGUAGCACAGUCACAGUGAGCCAGGUUCGGGUUCUGCUGGAUGUUUCUUUCUGUUAAAGGGGAGUUCUCCUCUCCACUAACAAGGAGGGAUUGCUGAAAAUUCAGUUACUUGACGCAAUCUGCUCGGUUUCCUCAGAUAAAAAAACAUUUCGCCAACUUUAACUGAGCUGAACUUGACUCACUGCAUGGUUGUAUUACUACAAUAAAAUUU
This is a long non-coding RNA of Xiphophorus maculatus (southern platyfish), 568 nucleotides long. RefSeq lists it as uncharacterized. The transcript is spliced from 3 exons. The record is from RefSeq and is a predicted model, not a curated record. NCBI's taxonomy places the organism in Eukaryota, Metazoa, Chordata, Actinopteri, Cyprinodontiformes, Poeciliidae.